Molecule: ribosomal RNA, 257 nt
Filed under: uncultured bacterium
Lineage: Bacteria
Description: partial 16S ribosomal RNA
Rfam family: Bacterial small subunit ribosomal RNA
Source: RNAcentral
UACGGAGGAUCCAAGCGUUAUCCGGAUUUAUUGGGUUUAAAGGGUGCGUAGGCGGCCUGUUAAGUCAGGGGUGAAAGACGGUAGCUCAACUAUCGCAGUGCCCUUGAUACUGAUGGGCUUGAAUGUACUAGAGGUAGGCGGAAUGUGACAAGUAGCGGUGAAAAUGCAUAGAUAUGUCACAGAACACCAAUUGCGAAGGCAGCUUACUAUGGUAUGAUUGACGCUGAGGCACGAAAAGCGUGGGGGAUCAAAACAGG